UGAUUCAUGAUUCGGCCACCAGUGGUUCCCGGUGCCGCCGCUGGAGGCAGUACUGCGCUGCUGAGGCUCUGGCCGAGAGCCUGAGACAAACACAGAAGAAGAAGACUGGUUCCGGCCAUGUGCGCUGCAGUGCUUUGAGCAGCGUGGGGUUCGAGGACGGGCAGCAGCAAGGUAUGUUUCAGGCAUUUAUAAGUAACAUGUUGUGGACAACAUUUUAGUACUAGCUUUUACAGACUGAUUUUUGUUUGGAUUAAUCCAACUAACUUUUAUAUCGAGAGACUGAAGCUUUGAGCUGACCCAAUGAUUAAACACACUACCCAUCUGACCCUGCUCUCAGGGGGACGAUUAUUGCUCUUAUAUGAGGACAAAGACAGGAGACGCGUGGAGGAUUCUUCUGCUUGUGUGCUUCAUCCUGAAGAAUGUUAAUUAAUAUGCUCAAAGUGGCCCGAGCGGUUGAAACCAUCCUUCGUGAAAAUGUGAUGCAGGGAGAGCAUGUGGAGCAAAACUAAAUCUUGUUACAGCCCCGCCAGAGUCUCCUGCUGGACAAUGUGCCUUACUCUGAUACACCCAGAAACAAGACCUGACCCUGAUUCACUGUCACUGAUCUUCAUUUGCACUGUAAUAUCACACAGUGGCCAUAACUUUAAUAACUUGUACAGUAUGUUGGUUCAACGCUGAUGUGAUUGUGUUCAAUUAAAUGCAAUCAAU
Molecule: long non-coding RNA, 708 nt
Organism: Sinocyclocheilus grahami
Lineage: Eukaryota; Metazoa; Chordata; Actinopteri; Cypriniformes; Cyprinidae
Exons: 4
Source: RefSeq, a predicted model, not a curated record